AGAAUCAACGCUGGCGGCGUGCCUAACACAUGCAAGUCGAACGAGAAAGUGGAGCAAUCCAUGAGUAAAGUGGCGCACGGGUGAGUAACACGUGACUAACCUACCCUGGAGUGGGGGAUAACUGAGGGAAACCUUAGCUAAUACCGCAUAAUACCUACGGGUCAAAGGAGCAAUUCGCUUUAGGAGGGGUCGCGGCAGAUUAGCUAGUUGGCGGGGUAAUGGCCCACCAAGGCAGUGAUCUGUA
This 244-nucleotide ribosomal RNA is filed under the name uncultured bacterium. Its description in RNAcentral is "partial small subunit ribosomal RNA". It matches the Rfam family "Bacterial small subunit ribosomal RNA", at positions 26 to 285 of the family's 1533-position model. The record is from RNAcentral.